AGUGAACGCUGGCGGUAGGCCUAACACAUGCAAGUCGAACGGCAGCACAGUAAGAGCUUGCUCUUACGGGUGGCGAGUGGCGGACGGGUGAGGAAUACAUCGGCAUCUACUUUUUCGUGGGGGAUAACGUAGGGAAACUUACGCUAAUACCGCAUACGACCUACGGGUGAAAGCAGGGGAUCUUCGGACCUUGCGCGAUUGAAUGAGCCGAUGUCGGAUUAGCUAGUUGGCGGGGUAAAGGCCCACCAAGGCGACGAUCCGUAGCUGGCCUGAGAGGAUGAUCAGCCACACUUGAGAUGAUACACGGUCCAGACUCGUACGAGAGGCAGCAGUGGGUAAUACUGGAGGAUGGGGUCAGGCCUAAUGCAGCCAUGCGGCAUGGGUGAUGAAGGCCUUCGGUGUGUAAAAUGCUGUUGUUGGGAUUGAAAAGCGGUUUGUGAAGAGAAGACUGAACUGACGGUACCUGAAGAAGAAGCAACGGCUAACUACGUG
RNAcentral lists this ribosomal RNA (492 nucleotides) under uncultured bacterium. Its description in RNAcentral is "partial 16S ribosomal RNA". It matches the Rfam family "Bacterial small subunit ribosomal RNA", at positions 29 to 507 of the family's 1533-position model. The record is from RNAcentral.